Molecule: RNA transcript, 3730 nt
Organism: Plectropomus leopardus (leopard coralgrouper)
Lineage: Eukaryota; Metazoa; Chordata; Actinopteri; Perciformes; Serranidae
Gene name: leucine zipper putative tumor suppressor 2 homolog
Source: RefSeq, a predicted model, not a curated record
CUGUCCUGCAGCUCCGCACAACAACAAACGCGCCUUACACAGGAGGAAGAGACGCCACAGAGAGAGAAAAACACAUUAACAUGUAGUUUUAUCAACAGACACCUCGAUAAAGUUACGAAUUUGUGGAUAAAACGACCCAAAAAGGACGAAGAAGACGUCGCGUGCUGAUUUUUUUCUGAGCAGACUUUGUGAAAGCAGCUGUCCCGGACUGUCCUCUCCACCGUCAACGUCUGGGAGAGACGAAGAGAGAAUGAAUAUCUGCUCGCCCUGUGAGUUCCUGGGAUGCUCGAGCGACCUGUGCCCCAUGCUUUUUUAAGAAGUUGAAGACAGGGUGUCAUUAACAGAGCGAGUGACCCCUCUGAGCUGCCACCAUGGCCCUGGUUCAGGCUCUGCCCAUCUCUGCUGAGCCCCACAACCCCGGCCUCAGUGGAGGACCCCGCAGGAGACACCCCUCCGGCUCCUCACCCCCCAUCAACGCACCGCCCUCCACUCUGGAUCCUAUGGGUUCUGUUAGCAGUCUCAUCGCCAAUCGCCCGGGCCCCUACCAGGAACACCGGCCUAUCAAUGAGCUGGGAGCCAGAGUCCGACGUCCCACACCAGGUGCCUCCUGCCUAGGCUCCGAGUCACCCCUUGACCCUUUGAUACUGCAGAACAUCCCGCCACUGAAGAAACAGAGCUCUGCGACGUCCAGCAGGGGGCUGGAGAAGGAGAGCGGGAACGGGAACUAUACUUAUCUGAAUGAGGACUAUGUAGGUGACUGGAAUGAAAACCAUGUAACACGUGUCAGUCCAGGAAGCGACGCAGACGAGACUAAAGGAUCGGGGUUAAAUGGGAACGUAGGCGGACCUCCUCCGAAACUGAUUCCUGUGUCAGGAAAACUUGAGAAGAACAUGGAGAAAACAGUGCUGCGGCCCACUGCCUUCAAACCUGUUGUUCCCAAGAGUCGUACCUCCAUGCAAUACCUCUCCCCUCGCCAUUGUGCCAACGCCUCAGAGAGCCAAAACAACCUGAACCUGCUGAGCCCCACACACAUUGAGGCGUCGCCCUCCUGCUCUGAGAAAAGCAGCUUGUACAGCAGGACUCGUAACAGCGGCGGCAGCCAACUGACUGACUCUGGACGCAACUCCCUCUCCAGCCUCCCACAGUACAGCAGCGCCGGCUACGGCCUACCAUCGGGAGAGGCCUCUGCUGGCCACCUGGAGCCCAUGAAAAGCGCUCCGCCAGUCAGUGGACACGGACACUCCAACUCAGACAGCGGGCGCUCGUCCUCCAGUAAGAGCACAGGCUCGGGCUCGAUAAGUGGCCGAGGACAGCCUCUGUCUGACAGCGGGUCCAGUGGGCGCUCCCCUGGCCCGGUGGAGGGUUACGAGGGGGUGGUGAGGGACCUAGAGGACAAGCUGAGGGAGAGAGAGCAGGAGCUGCAGCAACUCCGAGACAACCUGGAUGAGAAUGAAGCCGCUAUUUGUCAGGUUUAUGAGGAGAAACAGAAGCGCUUUGAGCUGGAGCUGGAGGAGCUGAGGCAGAGCUGCGCCACCAGGAUGCAGGUCGCCUCGCAGAAGGCCCAGCGUGCACAGCAGGUGCUUCAGCUGCAGGUUUAUCAGCUCCAGCAGGAGAAGAAGAAGCUGCAGGAGGACUUUGCUCAGCUUCUGAAGGAGCGGGAGCAGCUGGAGGAGCGCUGCACCUCCUAUGAGCACGAGAAGAUCCAGCUGGGGCCUCGACUGGAGGAGAGCAAGUGGGAGGUCUGUCAGAAGUCGGGGGAAAUCUCGCUGCUGAAGCAGCAGCUGAAGGAGGUGCAGGGAGAGUUGGCCCAGCGCGUAGGAGAGAUUGUGUCACUGCGAGGUCAACUCAGAGAGACUCGUGGCGAGCUGACAAACACCCAGGUCCUGCUCCAGGAGGCCCACGGCACGACCCGCACACGAACCCUGGAGCUGGAGGUGUGUGAAAACGAGCUUCAGCGGCGCAAGAGCGAAGCGGAGCUGCUCAGAGAAAAGGUAGGACGCCUGGAGGGAGAGUUGGUUCACCUCAGAGAGGCUUUGGCCAAUCAGGGCCCAGGAAACAGACAGUGUCAGGUGUUCCAGGACGCAGAGGAGCAUCUGCUGGCCUAUGAGAGCGACGAGGCGAAGGCCCAGCGGCAGAGCAGCAGCGAGGCGCUGCAGAACAUGAAGGUGCAGAUGGACAGGAUGAGGGCCGAGCUGGCCUUCGAGCGCCAGCGGGCCGAGCAGCAAACUGGAGGCUUCGAGGAGGAGCGCAGGAUAUGGCAGGAGGAGAAGGACAAAGUUAUCCGCUACCAGAAGCAGCUGCAGCAGAACUAUGUGCAGAUGUAUCGCAGGAACCGGGAGCUGGAGCAGCUCCUGCAGGAGCUCAGUCAGGAACUGGAGAGCAGGGAGGAGGACGAGGGCAGCGGCAACGAGAUCAACUUUGAUGAAAUCGCCGCCACAGAAAUUUGACUCCUGUGUCUCUUCGUCUUUUGAUUUGCACUACUGUUGGCUAAUUUUCUUUUUCACCCACAUCAUAUACAGGCAUUUGUGGGAGAAUUUGUUGUGUGUGAGUAACUGCUACCAACCUUUCACUCCUCCUCCUCCUGUGUCGGUGAUGACUCGACCUCUCACGCUGGGUUUAACACACACACUCCCACUCCGUGUUUGCAGUCAGCUCUCAUUAGUACAGAUAAUUUGGAUCGAGCCCACGCUUGUUGUCAACUAACGUGGGAUGCCACACGUUCAGCAUGUCAUGAUAAGAGCAAGUGAAUCAGAGCGAGAUGCUGCACUCUCAUCAUGACCAACAAGUAAAUAAUAUCUGAUUCCAAAUAUUCCAAAAUAUGUCUACAGCCUUCUAACAGGAUUAUCAUAUGUAGGAACAAAAAACUCUUAUUUUCUAAUCAUAUAUGACACAAAUGUGGGUUUUUUUCAUAUUAUUAGGUCCAGUUUGAGCAAAACAGCCUCCUUCAGUUGUACUCUCAUAUCCUGGACACUUUAAAUGUUGGUAAUAAUAUCAUGAACAUCUGUACAGUCUAAUGUAAUUAAACACAGUAACAUCUGGAUAGUAUACUACCUUUACACCUUACAUUCAGUGCAUGUCAGAUUUUCUCAAGCACACGCACAAAUGUCCUGGGCCACCUUUAAAACGAGAUUUAAAUCUUUUUUUAAAAAUCAAAAAUCGAGAUACAAGUAUACCGUAGACCCCUGAUUUGGAAUAUAAAUGUGAGAUGUUUUUAUCAUAUUGAUGUAAACAGUCGCAAAUCUAAUCUAUUCCCUUUAAGAAAACUUUGUGUUAUAUGUUUUUGAGACUAAAUAUAGUCUCUGUCAGGUACAGAGGUGCCAGACAAAAAGCCAAAUUGGGCUUGAAACUUUUUUUUUCCCCCUGAUGCAAUAACGUAGACAUUUUAACAGAGGCGAUGGCUCUGUGGGCUCUUAUUUGUGGAGUUUGCAUGUUCUCCCUAUUUUCCCCCACAGUGUGCCCAUAGAUGUGAAUGUAACAGGGAAUGGCUGUCUUUCUCUAUAUAUCAGUCCUGAUGAAUGGGAACCAGUCCAGGGUGUCCCAGAGGGUCAGCUGGGAGUUGAGAGUCCUCAGGAGGUAAGAGUCAGCUACAUUAUAAUUAGAUAUUAAAGGGAUAGCGCCAACGAUAAGAUGACAAAAUCUGUUAGGUUUGACCAAGAGCCUUAUAUCGCCCAUUUCUGCUGUUUUAACCUUUUAAAACCUGAGCAAAUUGGCUUGAUUUCUCUCAAAAACA